UACGUAGGGUCCGAGCGUUGUCCGGAAUUAUUGGGCGUAAAGGGCUCGUAGGCGGUCUGUUGCGUCGGGAGUGAAAACUUACAGCUUAACUGUGAGCGUGCUUUCGAUACGGGCAGACUUGAGGCAUUCAGGGGAGAACGGAAUUCCUGGUGUAGCGGUGAAAUGCGCAGAUAUCAGGAGGAACACCGGUGGCGAAGGCGGCUCUCUGGGACGGUACUGACGCUGAGACGCGAAAGCGUGGGGAGCGAACAGG
Molecule: ribosomal RNA, 253 nt
Filed under: uncultured bacterium
Lineage: Bacteria
Description: partial 16S ribosomal RNA
Rfam family: Bacterial small subunit ribosomal RNA
Source: RNAcentral